GACUGGAACAGUUUGCCCAGAGAAGCUGUGGAGUCUUCCUCUGGUGAUAUUCCAGAACCAUCUGGACACACUCCCGUGCCCUGGGGUGACCCUGCUUGAACAGGAGGUUGGACCAGGGGAGAAAAAAAGAGCGAAGAGUCCUAAAACCUGAGCUGCAGUAAACAAGACAGAAGCCACACAAGGCAGUUUCAUUGCUUUAAUAACUUAAAGAGCAGAUUUGAUAUUUACAGUUAAGGGAAAGGCAGGUGAUUGCAAUUGAAGUAGAACGUGAAAAAGCCCACCAGAAGAGGUACUGCAGGGAAUACUGAAGAACCUACAUCCAGGAUUGCCCUGUCCCUUGCAGAAUCCAACACAUGCCCUGGUUGAACUUCAUAUUGUUGGUGAUUGCCCAGCCCUCUGAUUUAUCUGGGUCUCUGCAGGGCCUCUCUUCCCUCAGGGGACUCAGCAACUCCUCCCAAUUUAGUGUCCUUGGUAAACUUACUUAGUAUCCUUCCAGUCGUGUAUCCAAGUCAUUUAUGAGGAUGUUGAAGAGCACAGGGCUGAGGCUGGGGCCCUGUGGAACCCCACGACUGACAGGACACCAGGCUGGUGUAACCCCAUCCACUUUGUGCUGACCCAAUUGCUCACCCAUCCCAUGAUGUGUUUAUCCAGCUGCGUGCUGCACAUUUUGUCCAGAAGGAUCCUGGGAGUGACCGUAUUGAAAGUUUUACUGAAGUCCGAAAGGAUUACAUAACUGGCUCAUUAACAUUUUAAAUUAGAUCUAUUUAUAGGACUAAUAAAACUGAAAAGCUUUUAGAUUCAGAAAACCUUCAAAGGUAGGUAUUUGCAAAAGUAUGAAGUCAAAGUGUCCUAUGUUUUUAUGGCUUUUUGCUUGCAGCAGAAGCCUGGAGUACUGUGUUAAGGGGCAUUAAAUCUGAUAUUGCUGGCAGAGCAUCAACAUUCCAAUAACAAAAGAAGGUCUGGUGGGUCUGUUAAAGCUGGUAUCAGAGAUCCAGGCUGAUAUCCAAGUGCUGAGUCAUUGAGUCGGAAUAGACAUUGCUAUGAAAGAUUCUUAAUUGUUUAAGAACUUUCAACUCUCCUCUGGGAACACGAGGGAAAGGUCUGGUCACUUCACCUAACUUCAGCUAUCUCAAGCAUCCAGUUUGAGGCCAUUGACUGUGAAGAGAGAGAGGAGAAGAGGGCACCUGCAGGGCACAGUUCAUUCCACCCUCUUUGGAGAUGUUUCAGUAAAGAAGGAACCGCCUGCCAGAGCUCUGUCCCAGGGCUGCCUUUGCUCCCCAAGUGCCUCAACAGCCACCUUGCAGAUGCCUGAAGUCAAGGGACAUGAAUUCAGGCCUAACUGGUAGCUAUAACCUAAUGAUGGAAAUAAUGUGGCAGCAUUCCAGGAGGUAUUAGCAAUUCACAUAGUUCCCAGAUUCUUUUUUUUAACCAUCUUUUAUGAUUUAUGGAGGUCAAUUAUAUAAAGCCCAUCAGAACACAAGAAAUGCUUAAAAAUGCUGCAUUAGAGACACAUUAAUAUUAGUCCUCCUGAGGUGGUAAUGGCUGUAGCCUUCCUGGCCCUGCUGCUCUGCCCUGCUGCUUAAUGCAUCCAGUUUUUCUAUUUACAGAUUUACAGAUUCUAUUUUUGGUGUUAACAAAGAAUAUGAGCAUAUGUAUCAAACACUGUUCUCACAUCUAAUUAUAGUACUGCUGGCAAAGUAAUUCUGGAAAGUGCCACUUAAUUAAAUAUAAGCAUUAACUUUUUGCUGAUAGCUUAUCAGAAACAAUUAGACUUGAAAUGUGGGAAAUACACCUAGAGUUUAGAACUUUCAGGAGAAGCAUUAAAAGCACAAAAUAACCUAUUUUCACUUGCAUUCUCCAGUGUCUUCCUGCUGAGCACAACCUCGGUUUUCAUCACUACAGUGUGUCUUUAGGUAAUGUAGAGGCUGCAAGUUUAUCUGGACUCCUUUUUGUGUGCAAAAGCCUGAGCUAAGUGGAUGCUUUUAGAAGGGGUUAAACCACUUUAGUAUAGUUUAUGUUUUUGCCAAUUCCUCCUGAAAUACCAGAUAUAUUCUGCUGAUUACUCGGGGUCUGCACACAACAACCCAGGAACUACUGGGGACAGUCAGACGAUCUCACAGCUUAUGCCAAGUGCUUAUUCUUUGCAAGGACAGCUUGAUCAGCAUUUAUAUUCAUUAACUUGAUCAGGGAUAUGCUUUUUUGUCUGUGUGACAAUGCCAAAUAUUAGUUAAUUCUAUGUAAUUUUUCAUCAAUAGCCAGAUAGAUCUACCAGAUAAUUAUACCUAAAAUAUCUCUGCAGAACUUUGAGCUCUGCUGCUGUUUGCCUGAAAGUGAAGAGGGGAACAAAGAAAAACAGAGCUGUAAUGAAAAUAAUUAUUCUUAAGUAAAAAUACAAGGGCUAGAAGGAAAUAAUUCCUUCAGGUUUGUUUGACAAUAUACAACAAAACUACAUAGCAACUGAGGAGAGACGCUUUUCCCAGGUCUAACAUUUGGGCAAGCAGCAGUAGCAGGAGGAUCUGAAAUAACACCAUCUGGUGAAUGCCUGCUUCUUUCUUCAGCAGUCAAGAACUAUGUGUAACUAUAAACAAAGAAUAAAAUAGAAAUAACGCAAAACUACUUUUCAGUUAAAUGUUACACAGAAUGAACAAACAGCUGCUCUGGGAAUGCAGAAAAGAAUGAUGUUAAAUAUAGUAGGAAAUUUGAGCACACUGCUCCUAUAAAUACAUGAACCAAAGAGAAUGUAGGAUUCUGCAGAGCUGUGGACAGGGAAACUUAGUUCCAGGCUGGAGAGAACUAUUCUGGCAAUAAAUGUAGCAAUGAUUUAACCAUCACACAAGAAGAGCUGAUUCCUUGACAGUGUGAAAUCAAGCUGCAGGACAUCUGUGCCUGCCUUUAUGUCCCAUUUUUUGUCAGUCAGAAUUCCCAUGUUUCUCCUGUUUGACUGUCUGGUAUGCUUUGCUGAACUCUGGGCUACUUGACCUUCAGAAGACAGUCAAAAUACAGGAGUUUGCACAAGAGCUUGCACUUGGGUGUUUGACACUGUUUGUGGCAGAAGCAAAUAUACAAAUAGGUGAUUCAAUGUUUAGCAUCCUAUCUAUAAACAAAUUGUGAAAAUAAUUCAGAGCUCUGUUUUUACCAAGUCCGCUAUUUUGCAUUGAUAAGAGAUUUGCAAAAUCCUUGGAAAGUCAAAGCAGCACUGGAAGCUGAAAAAGCAAAUCCACAAAAUCUUAAAUCCAACCCUUCCUGGUAAAUACCACUGAUUAACAACCACAGGAAUAGGACAAGGAAGAGAUUUACUGCCCCUUAACUCAGUCCCCAGUCACAUCAAAGUCCACAAAAAGUAUUUUGAAGAUGCUACUGGGUUCACUAACAAGUGAGGCAGAAAGAUGAUGAAGGUUUUGGAGGCUGUGUCAUAUAAGGAGAGGCUGAGGAGAAGCUGAAGCAAAUAUGCUGCUAUUUCUAAGCAUUCAGAAAUAAAAUAUGCACAAUACUAUCUAAAUAUUAAAGUAGAACUAAAAGUGUAUUUAGCAAUGAGAAUAAUAAAUAAGCAAAGUGAAGCAGAUAAGUCUGAUUAUCAAAGGAGAUAAAAACUAAAUUGCACCUUCAAAGGGGCUGAUGUGCUAGAAUUCCAGAAGUAGCUGAACAAGAAAUUUUUGUGUUUGCUGACAGAGUAGCAUUCUUCACUAUAAAUUACAGCUUAGACUUCUAUCCAUGGAGUUUUUCUUUCCAAAGAUUCUGAAGAAGUUUUUACAAAGCAGAGCAAGUACAUUAUUUGAAAGACCCCUGAAAGGUAUGAACCAUCCCAAAGCACCAGAACCACAGGAAUGUUUAGAUUGGAAAAGACCUCGGUGAUGCUUGAGUCCAGCCAUUAACCCAGCACUGCCAAUCCCACCACUGAACCAAGUCCCUCAGUGACACAUGUCCAGGAAUUUUAAAUCCCUCGGGAAUUGUGACUCCAUCACUGCCAUGGUUGCCAGUUCCAACAGUAUUAACUUCAAGACCAACAAGCAGUUAAUGUUAGAUUCUUUUAGAACAUACUCAGUACUACCAGUUUUUAACAAGAGGAUGCCCAAUUUACUGCACAAAAUAAAAAAGUGUUUCUGCAGAAUUUCAAGAAAACUCAAAUUAUUUUAUUCACAAAAGAGAAGUCAAUAAAAAUAUAGAUACCCUGAUCAGUUUUACAGACCAUGUUCAUUUCUUCUCUCCACUGACAGGCAAAAGCAUUCAUGGGAAAAAAAAAAGGUAACAAGCAGUUACAUCACAAACCAUUAUUAACACAGAUUCAUGUAUAUGAGCAAAUAUUACAGGUCCAACAAACAUUUCUCUUUUGUUUUUUCCUUUUUUUUUCUGUGCUGUACUAUUUUCCACUGCUGUUAAGAGUAUGUGCUGUCUCACUGUUAUUUAACUAAUAGUUUUAGUAGAAACUGUAAUGUAUGAACUCACUGCUUUCAAAGUGUUUUCUCUGAAUUCCAAACCCCUUUAUGGGACUAAAUGAGGACGUUUGUGCUAUAUUACUCAAGUAAUGCAAAAAAAAAAAAAAAGUCAACAUUGCUACUAAUAGCAUCAGGAAGCUCGUUUUUUAUUAUUUUUAUGGAGCACCUCCUCAAAAAAUACCUGAAGAUAUCCUUCUUAUUCAAAUCAAACUUCUGUCAGCUCAGUGUUUAUGCAUGAAACUCUAGGGAAAUCUUUCCUCUUUUGAAGAUAUAUAAAUGUUCCCUAGAAAUCAGUUUUGUGACACUUAUACAAGUCUGGCUUUCAGGACCAUGAAGGAAGACAACAGACAUUAAGGACAAUUACUCCUGGUUUUGUUUACUGUGCUUUUUUUUUUUUUUUUCCACCAUUCAUUAUAUCCAUUGAUAUAAUGAAUAUCCAUUUCAUUAUAUAGAUUUAAGAGGACUGAAGCCCCAUCUGAAAAACUCUCAUUGAAAUAAAGAGACCAAGUGCUAAUUUUAUUUCUUUAUUCCACUUUUAAUGCCUUUGAACUUUGUAGAGAUGAAAAAUUUGUGAACUCUUCCACUAUACAGACCUUGACAAAAACAUUUGUAGAACAGGUUACAAAAUUACAAACCCAAACUUACUUGAAAACAAAAACCAAUCAGAAAAUGCUUGCUUUUUCAAAAAGCAAGUACUGAACCAGGAGGAAGAAACACUGUAGUACAGAAACUUACUUUAAGGAUGGGUUGUCUUGCACAGAAACCAACCCCAAACUCAUAAUGAUUACUGCUAUAAUUCUGAUGAUCAAAUAAUAUUUCAGGUUGCUUGCAUGUAGAUUGCUCCUGCCUCUGCCUACCUAAACUUUGGGAGCAUCACCACUGGGGGACAAAGCUCUUUUCUUUUAAAAUCCAGAAAAUCCAGUUUCAUAUAGAAACAAUCUUGCUACAUAAGUGCUACAAGAGAUCAUUUUGACCCCCCUGCCCCUCAGGACAUGACUUUGUUAUCUCUCGCACCUUUAGCUCCUCUUCCCUAAAAUAUCCAGCAAUAGAUCAUUGAAAAGCAGGUGCCCCUACUUCAUCCUCUCUGCAAGCAGCUGGCAGAGCUGGAAGCACUGGUUGCCAAAGGAAAGCCCCACUCUCCUCUCACUGCAGCCUGGAUUCUGAAGGUGGUGAAGAUGCACAGACUCCAACCUGUGCACAGCGACAUUGGAGCUACAACUGCUCUGAUGCUCUGCCUGUGCCAGAGAGUCACUCCAUGUACAGGAUACACAGCACCACGUGCUGCAGAACGAAGAAAUAAAUCAUCAGAGUAUUGUCAGCAAACUCAAGUCUUCUCCUGGAGGUCCUGCAGCUCUGGGAUUCCUGCAAUUCGGCUCUGUGCAAGCUACACUUCCCCCAGCCUACCCUCCCUGUGGCACCCGCUGCUUUCCUGGCCACAGACAGCAAUAGUGGGCACUGGCUCCUUUUCAAAAGCACAAAGUGGACGUCACCAGUCACCAGUACUUGGCAUGACUCCAACACAAUCUUCAAAAUACAAAUAUUUAA
Long non-coding RNA from Ficedula albicollis (Collared flycatcher), 5978 nucleotides. RefSeq lists it as uncharacterized. NCBI's taxonomy places the organism in Eukaryota, Metazoa, Chordata, Aves, Passeriformes, Muscicapidae. The record is from RefSeq and is a predicted model, not a curated record. The transcript has 3 exons.